This 447-nucleotide ribosomal RNA is filed under the name uncultured bacterium. RNAcentral's name for it is "bacterial SSU rRNA". It matches the Rfam family "Bacterial small subunit ribosomal RNA", at positions 29 to 523 of the family's 1533-position model. The record is from RNAcentral.
AACGAACGCUGGCGGCAGGCCUAACACAUGCAAGUCGAACGAUCCUUCGGGAUAGUGGCAGACGGGUGAGUAACACGUGGGAACCUUCCCUUCGGUACGGAAUAGCUCCGGGAAACUGGAAUUAAUACCGUAUACGCCCUUUGGGGGAAAGAUUUAUCGCCGAAGGAUGGGCCCGCGUCGGAUUAGCUAGUUGGUGAGGUAACGGCUCACCAAGGCAACGAUCCGUAGCUGGUCUUAGAGGAUGAUCAGCCACACUGGGACUGAGACACGGCCCAGACUCCUACGGGAGGCAGCAGUGGGGAAUAUUGGACAAUGGGCGCAAGCCUGAUCCAGCCAUGCCGCGUGAGUGACGAAGGCCUUAGGGUUGUAAAACUCUUUUGGCAGGGACGAUAAUGACGGUACCUGCAGAAUAAGCCCCGGCUAACUUCGUGCCAGCCGCCGCGGUAA